UUUGUUUUUCUAGGUUCUUAAGGAAUCAAGUGACGAGGAAAGGGAGCAAGCUGAAGAGAUGAUGAAGUACUAGGUUCUUAAGGAAUCAAGUGACGAGGAAAGGGAGCAAGCUGAAGAGAUGAUGAAGUACUAGGUUCUUAAGGAAUCAAGUGACGAGAAAAGGGAGCAAGCUGAAGAGAUGAUGAAGUACUAGAUUUGUGUCUGAGUAGCAAAAUUCCAGAAGUGUUUGGCAUCAUGCAGGCAACUACUGUUAUGUGAGCACAUAAAAUUUGUGUGUGUUUUUUGUGGAAGAGGUCAUUUUUGCUGUUCUACAUCCAUCUUUCUCAACAAGAAAAACAAGACAACAUGUUAAAUAUUAACACAUCAACUUGUAUUAUUAUUUUUGUAUAUUAGGUUUAUUUUUUCUCUAUUUUUAGGGCAUUUUUAUUAUGACCAUUAGAUCUUGAUCUAGUGGAUAUGAGAUGUGUGUGUUUUGUGUUUCCAAAACACACAGUUUUUCUUAAAAGAAAUAUGUGUGUUUUUUCAGCUACAAACACACGCGUGUUUUUAGGCAUAAAUUGUCCAUGUGCUGUAUAGACAGUCCCAAA
Zea mays is the source of this 587-nucleotide long non-coding RNA. RefSeq lists it as uncharacterized. NCBI's taxonomy places the organism in Eukaryota, Viridiplantae, Streptophyta, Magnoliopsida, Poales, Poaceae. The transcript has 4 exons. The record is from RefSeq and is a predicted model, not a curated record.